UGCAAGUCGAACGAUGAAGCCUUUCGGGGUGGAUUAGUGGCGAACGGGUGAGUAACACGUGGGCAAUCUGCCCUUCACUCUGGGACAAGCCCUGGAAACGGGGUCUAAUACCGGAUAACACUCNGNCCCGCAUGGGANGGGGUUAAAAGCUCCGGCGGUGAAGGAUGAGCCCGCGGCCUAUCAGCUUGUUGGUGGGGUAAUGGCCUACCAAGGCGACGACGGGUAGCCGGCCUGAGAGGGCGACCGGCCACACUGGGACUGAGACACGGCCCAGACUCCUACGGGAGGCAGCAGUGGGGAAUAUUGCACAAUGGGCGAAAGCCUGAUGCAGCGACGCCGCGUGAGGGAUGACGGCCUUCGGGUUGUAAACCUCUUUCAGCAGGGAAGAAGCGCAAGUGACGGUACCUGCAGAAGAAGCGCCGGCUAACUACGUGCCAGCAGCCGCGGUAAUACGUAGGGCGCAAGCGUUGUCCGGAAUUAUUGGGCGUAAAGAGCUCGUAGGCGGCUUGUCACGUCGGAUGUGAAAGCCCGGGGCUUAACCCCGGGUCUGCAUUCGAUACGGGCUAGCUAGAGUGUGGUAGGGGAGAUCGGAAUUCCUGGUGUAGCGGUGAAAUGCGCAGAUAUCAGGAGGAACACCGGUGGCGAAGGCGGAUCUCUGGGCCAUUACUGACGCUGAGGAGCGAAAGCGUGGGGAGCGAACAGGAUUAGAUACCCCUGGUAGUCCACGCCGUAAACGUUGGGAACUAGGGUGUUGGCGACAUUCCACGUC
RNAcentral lists this ribosomal RNA (769 nucleotides) under Streptomyces cyaneofuscatus. Its description in RNAcentral is "bacterial SSU rRNA". It matches the Rfam family "Bacterial small subunit ribosomal RNA", at positions 56 to 840 of the family's 1533-position model. The record is from RNAcentral. Lineage: Bacteria; Bacillati; Actinomycetota; Actinomycetes; Kitasatosporales; Streptomycetaceae.